CAAAGCUGCAGCAACUCUUACAGAUUUGGGGAAUUAAAGAACAAUUAAGCACACAGAGGAUCUGCACAGCAUCCCGCUUUGAGGCACGAUCUCGAUGGUCAGUGCAGCCUCACCCCAUUUGCUGACAGCUCUGCAGCCUGCUUCUGGACCAGCAGCUCCUGUGUUGGCUAGUGCGUUAAGGUCGCUGGAAAGCUGUGCUGUGUUGUACUUGGUGUACACGAACAUCCUUCUGGUGAUUGAUGGCUACACCCUACGGAAAUGUUUUAAUUCUGUCCUUGAAGCUUGCCUUCAGGAACACUGUCAGUACGUAUUCUUCCUUGUCGAGCAGCACACGGCGCUUGGGAAUCUGCAGCAGCCCGAGGUCCCUGGCUUCUACCCAUGGGCAUUCAACAACCUCUCCUCUGGGCUUCGGAUUCAGUUCCCAAGCCUUCAACCAAUGGACUUCCCUACCUCUGAUUUACUAGAAAGGGCUGGUUUAAAAGGCACACUUAGGACACGAUGAUUCCCAUGAAAAAGCAGUAACAGCUGGUAAAUCACAAACCCAGCUAUCAGGUUCCAAGAAAUAAUGUGUGCCCUUCUCAGUCAAACAGGUCGCUCACAAUUACUCCAAGCCUUUGCCAUGUCCAGUAUCUUGCCUUCACUUUGAUGUUAUGUGCUGCAGUAAUCUGUCCAGAAUCCAGUCAAUCUGAAUAGAUGUACAGAAAAAUAGCUAAGGCUACUGUCCUUAAUUGUUUAUGUUUUACUUUGCACAGUUAUUAAGGAAAAUACUUGAAGCCGUCACUAUACUUAAAAAAUAAUGUUGCAGAACUUGGCUUCAGGAGGGCAGAAUUCCACUUUUUAUGUAUUGUUCCCUUUUGCAAUAACUCCUCUUUAAACCAUAUUCCUGAGCUAUCUAAAACCCUUGGCCAGAACCUACAGUUGAGAGGCACAGUUAAAAUGCUUCAAACUGGCUGAUAUUACAAGACUAAACCCUACUUUAAAGACGUUUAACGUUACCAUGCGGCAGCCAAGCCCUCCAACACAGCAGGUUUGCAAGCCAGCAAGUCACCUGCAGCUUCUCAUGUCAUCUGCUCCAGUGACACCACCGAGAUAAACUUGAAAAUAGGAACAAAGCACUGGAAAUAUUCCAGAGCUGCCGUAUCCCAGAGGUUAUUUAACUUGGACUUCACACUCCUAAGAUUUCCAUGAAAUAGGCUGAGAACUGAAACAGUAGUCGAUGUUAAGCACAGAAUCAGUAAUUUAACUGUUACUCCACAUUUUUUUAUGAUCCUCACUGGAUGUAAACCAACUUUUUGUCCUGGUGAUGCAACUGUGCUACCUGAAAAAUGACGUUUCCAAGAGAAAAAAAAAAAAUCAGUAUGGAAAGUCCUGUGGUGAAUGAAAAAACAACUUGGCAGAAAAAGAGAUAAUUUUGAAAAGCUGAUUAAUGGGUAGGGUUUUUUGUUUGUUUGUUUUUCUGUACUUCAUAACAAUUUCUGCACUAGAUACCAUUACCUUUGGAUUCUGUGGGUUUUCCAGGAAAAUUGUUCACUGAAAAUUUUGUGUGCUUUCAACAAGCAAAAUCAAGAGCAAGACUCCACUAGUCAUUUACCAGUAUUUGCCAUCCAUUUUUGGCAGUUUCAUAUUCAUGGUUUCUACUCCCUCUGAAAGCAAUUAGAACAGUGAUUUACAAGUCAUAGGAAUAGAAAGUUGUAAAAUCCUUUAUCAGUAUAUUUCAAUAUUAAAAACAAUAAAGAAUUAACUCCACCUCCAAUAAACCAAACAAAAGGCUCUGGUUUUAAAGAUUUUUUUUUUCAGUGUAGAACUUGAUGUUUUGGCUUGUUGGUUACCUGUUUUCUCAGUGAAAUUCAUUCAUUUCACGUUCACUAACUGACCCGCUCUUCUGUGGAGAUGGGUGUCCUCAUCUCCAGCUCUAGCCAAGAGCAACUAGUUUUUUUUUCUUGUAUCUCUCAGCUCACACUGCCAAUGAUGUAAAUACUUCUAGCGACCAGCUGGAUUUAAAUUGCAGACAAGUCAAGAGUAUUUGUUAUAGUAUCAAUUCAUCUUAACACUUAUUCCAAGUUGGAACAUGGCAAGACCAGCACAAAUGGAAACUAAAUAUAUUCUCAUUCGGGUCUAAUGAAAGAGCAGGGAGCUUUUAAACAUUACUCUCCGUAACUGCUAAGUGACUGCUGCACACAGUCUUUGCAUGAGCCUUGUGAUUGUCUCCACUGAAAAUUAAUUUUGUUGUACUCAUCAUUGAUGUAUUGCAUCAUUCUUGUCACCAGAAAAACACAAAGAGGCUGAGUAACAAAACACUAAUAUUUCUAGAUCCUAGGUGGGAGUCUGCAAGUUCAUUUUUUUGCUGCAAAUAAAAAUCACCAUACAAAAAAAAAAAAAAUCCACAUUAAUACAGAAGGAAAGUGUUAUUCAAUACAGCAGUGAGAA
Molecule: long non-coding RNA, 2427 nt
Organism: Cygnus olor (mute swan)
Lineage: Eukaryota; Metazoa; Chordata; Aves; Anseriformes; Anatidae
Exons: 3
Source: RefSeq, a predicted model, not a curated record